AUCCUAGAAGCGGGGAUGAUACCGCUGUACGCCUAACCAACUAGAGCUAGUCAAAGCUCUACCGAAUGUGAGUGUAUCCAUCAUAUUUUAUAUAAUUUUUUAUACAAGUGUAGAAUAUACUGCACCAUUACUGUUUUUAUUUUAUUUUUCCCAACUUCGACCACCCGGCACUACAAAGAAGAGGACACCUGCCGUAUAUCCUAUAAGCGGGGAUAAUACCGCUGCAAGCUAUCCACACC
Molecule: non-coding RNA, 239 nt
Organism: Pelobates cultripes (western spadefoot toad)
Lineage: Eukaryota; Metazoa; Chordata; Amphibia; Anura; Pelobatidae
Source: the annotation of a GenBank genome assembly